UGUUUCGGCUAGGGGGUCAUCCCGACUUACCAACCCGAUGCAAACUGCGAAUACCGAAGAAUGUUAUCACGGGAGACACACGGCGGGUGCUAACGUCCGUCGUGAAGAGGGAAACAACCCAGACCGCCAGCUAAGGUCCCAAAGUCAUGGUUAAGUGGGAAACGAUGUGGGAAGGCACAGACAGCCAGGAUGUUGGCUUAGAAGCAGCCAUCAUUUAAAGAAAGCGUAAUAGCUCACUGGUCGAGUCGGCCUGCGCGGAAGAUGUAACGGGGCUAAACCAUGCACCGAAGCUGCGGCAGCGACACUAUGUGUUGUUGGGUAGGGGAGCGUUCUGUAAGCCGUUGAAGGUGUACUGUGAGGUAUGCUGGAGGUAUCAGAAGUGCGAAUGCUGACAUAAGUAACGAUAAUGCGGGUGAAAAACCCGCACGCCGGAAGACCAAGGGUUCCUGUCCAACGUUAAUCGGGGCAGGGUGAGUCGACCCCUAAGGCGAGGCCGAAAGGCGUAGUCGAUGGGAAACAGGUUAAUAUUCCUGUACUUGGUGUUACUGCGAAGGGGGGACGGAGAAGGCUAUGUUAGCCGGGCGACGGUUGUCCCGGUUUAAGCAUGUAGGCGGAGGUUCCAGGUAAAUCCGGUACCUUUUAACGCUGAGGUGUGAUGACGAGGCACUACGGUGCUGAAGUAACAAAUGCCCUGCUUCCAGGAAAAGCCUCUAAGCAUCAGGUAACACGAAAUCGUACCCCAAACCGACACAGGUGGUCAGGUAGAGAAUACCAAGGCGCUUGAGAGAACUCGGGUGAAGGAACUAGGCAAAAUGGUGCCGUAACUUCGGGAGAAGGCACGCUGAUAUGUAGGUGAAGUGAUUUACUCAUGGAGCUGAAAUCAGUCGAAGAUACCAGCUGGCUGCAACUGUUUAUUAAAAACACAGCACUGUGCAAACACGAAAGUGGACGUAUACGGUGUGACGCCUGCCCGGUGCCGGAAGGUUAAUUGAUGGGGUUAUCCGUAAGGAGAAGCUCUUGAUCGAAGCCCCGGUAAACGGCGGCCGUAACUAUAACGGUCCUAAGGUAGCGAAAUUCCUUGUCGGGUAAGUUCCGACCUGCACGAAUGGCGUAAUGAUGGCCAGGCUGUCUCCACCCGAGACUCAGUGAAAUUGAACUCGCUGUGAAGAUGCAGUGUACCCGCGGCAAGACGGAAAGACCCCGUGAACCUUUACUAUAGCUUGACACUGAACACUGGUCCUUGAUGUGUAGGAUAGGUGGGAGGCUUUGAAGUGUGGACGCCAGUCUGCAUGGAGCCAUCCUUGAAAUACCACCCUUUAAUGGCUGGUGUUCUAACGUGGACCCGUAAUCCGGGUUGCGGACAGUGUCUGGUGGGUAGUUUGACUGGGGCGGUCUCCUCCUAAAGAGUAACGGAGGAGCACGAAGGUUAGCUAAUCCUGGUCGGACAUCAGGAGGUUAGUGCAAAGGCAUAAGCUAGCUUGACUGCGAGAGUGACGGCUCGAGCAGGUGCGAAAGCAGGUCUUAGUGAUCCGGUGGUUCUGAAUGGAAGGGCCAUCGCUCAACGGAUAAAAGGUACUCCGGGGAUAACAGGCUGAUACCGCCCAAGAGUUCAUAUCGACGGCGGUGUUUGGCACCUCGAUGUCGGCUCAUCACAUCCUGGGGCUGAAGUAGGUCCCAAGGGUAUGGCUGUUCGCCAUUUAAAGUGGUACGCGAGCUGGGUUUAGAACGUCGUGAGACAGUUCGGUCCCUAUCUGCCGUGGGCGCUGGAGAAUUGAGGGGGGCUGCUCCUAGUACGAGAGGACCGGAGUGGACGCAUCACUGGUGUUCGGGUUGUCAUGCCAAUGGCAUUGCCCGGUAGCUAAAUGCGGAAGAGAUAAGUGCUGAAAGCAUCUAAGCACGAAACUUGCCCCG
This 1911-nucleotide ribosomal RNA is filed under the name Citrobacter freundii. RNAcentral describes it as "partial 23S ribosomal RNA". It matches the Rfam family "Bacterial large subunit ribosomal RNA", at positions 911 to 2801 of the family's 2925-position model. Lineage: Bacteria; Pseudomonadati; Pseudomonadota; Gammaproteobacteria; Enterobacterales; Enterobacteriaceae. The record is from RNAcentral.